GACGAACGCUGGCGGCGUGCUUAACACAUGCAAGUCGAACGGAAAGGCCCUGCUUUUGUGGGGUGCUCGAGUGGCGAACGGGUGAGUAACACGCGAGUAACCUGCCCUUGACUUUGGGAUAACUUCAGGAAACUGGGGCUAAUACCGGAUAGGAGCUCCUGCUGCAUGGUGGGGGUUGGAAAGUUUCGGCGGUUGGGGAUGGACUCGCGGCUUAUCAGCUUGUUGGUGGGGUAGUGGCUUACCAAGGCUUUGACGGGUAGCCGGCCUGGGAGGGUGACCGGGCACAUUGGGACUAAGAGACGGCCCAGACGCCUACGGGAGGCAGCAGGGGGGAGUAUUGCACAAUGGGCGGAAGCCUGAUACAGCAACGCCGCGUGCGGGAUGACGGCCUUCGGGGUGUAAACCGCUUUCGCCUGUGACGAAGCGUGAGUGACGGUAAUGGGUAAAGAAGCACCGGCUAACUACGUG
Molecule: ribosomal RNA, 468 nt
Filed under: uncultured bacterium
Lineage: Bacteria
Description: partial 16S ribosomal RNA
Rfam family: Bacterial small subunit ribosomal RNA
Source: RNAcentral